Molecule: non-coding RNA, 95 nt
Organism: Mycena latifolia
Lineage: Eukaryota; Fungi; Basidiomycota; Agaricomycetes; Agaricales; Mycenaceae
Source: the annotation of a GenBank genome assembly
AGCAGUGUGGUGUAUUGGGCGCACUGGAUUUUGUUAGCCAUCAUUCGAUAUCAAUGAUUAAUCCCGAGGUCCUUGUUCGAAUCAAGGUGCUGCUC